RNAcentral lists this ribosomal RNA (253 nucleotides) under uncultured bacterium. RNAcentral's name for it is "partial 16S ribosomal RNA". It matches the Rfam family "Bacterial small subunit ribosomal RNA", at positions 524 to 776 of the family's 1533-position model. The record is from RNAcentral.
GACGAACCGUACGAACGUUAUUCGGAAUCACUGGGCGUAAAGGGUGCGUAGGCGGGUCUUUAAGUCAGGGGUGAAAUCCUGGAGCUCAACUCCAGAACUGCCUUUGAUACUGAGGAUCUUGAGUUCGGGAGAGGUGAGUGGAACUGCGAGUGUAGAGGUGAAAUUCGUAGAUAUUCGCAAGAACACCAGUGGCGAAGGCGGCUCACUGGCCCGAUACUGACGCUGAUGCACGAAAGCGUGGGGAGCAAACAGG